ACUGAAAACACUACAACCCCU
RNAcentral lists this microRNA (21 nucleotides) under Arabidopsis lyrata. Its description in RNAcentral is "aly-miR4235". Lineage: Eukaryota; Viridiplantae; Streptophyta; Magnoliopsida; Brassicales; Brassicaceae. The record is from miRBase by way of RNAcentral.